UCUUGGUCAUUUAGAGGAAGUAAAAGUCGUAACAAGGUUUCCGUAGGUGAACCUGCGGAAGGUUCAUUAUCGAAUUAUAAGCAAAAGGUUGUUGCUGGCCUCCUCGGGGGCAUGUGCACGCCCGAGCUCUUAAUCCACUUACACCUGUGAACCCAAAAGUGGGGAUCGUCCCUAGGGGUGAUUCUCAUGUCUUUCAUAUACUCUUAUGCAUGUCUCGGAAUGUCUUUAUGUUGCCUAAACGCAAUUAUAAUACAACUUUCAACAACGGAUCUCUUGGCUCUCGCAUCGAUGAAGAACGCAGCGAAAUGCGAUAAGUAAUGUGAAUUGCAGAUUUUCAGUGAAUCAUCGAAUCUUUGAACGCACCUUGCGCUCCUUGGUAUUCCGAGGAGCAUGCCUGUUUGAGUGUCAUUAAAUUCUCAACUUCACCGAUUUUCUUCGAGUGAAGCUUGGACUUUGGAGCGUGCUGGCCCUCAAUUGGGUCGGCUCCUCUUUAAAUGCAGCAGCGGAGUCUUCUUUGACUUUUGCGGCGUCGGUGUGAUAAUCAUGUUGCGCCGUCGGCCCUGGGUCUCAGUCCGCUUACAAUGGUCUUCGGACAGCUAAUGAAACGCUUGACCUCAAAUCAGGUAGGACUACCCGCUGAACUUAAGCAUAUCAAUAAGCGGAGGA
Molecule: ribosomal RNA, 666 nt
Filed under: uncultured fungus
Lineage: Eukaryota; Fungi
Description: eukaryotic LSU rRNA
Rfam family: 5.8S ribosomal RNA (bases 254-408)
Source: RNAcentral